RNAcentral lists this ribosomal RNA (808 nucleotides) under uncultured bacterium. RNAcentral describes it as "bacterial SSU rRNA". It matches the Rfam family "Bacterial small subunit ribosomal RNA", at positions 8 to 796 of the family's 1533-position model. The record is from RNAcentral.
AGAGUUUGAUCAUGGCUCAGAAUCAACGCUGGCGGCGUGCCUAACACAUGCAAGUCGAACGCGAAAGUCCCGCAAGGGAUCGGUAGAGUGGCAAACGGGUGAGUAACACGUGGGUGACCUGCCUUCGAGUGGGGGAUAACGUCCCGAAAGGGACGCUAAUACCGCAUGACAUCCUGCCUUUGAACAGGCGGAGAUCAAAGCUGGGGAUCGCAAGACCUAGCGCUUGGAGAGGGGCCCGCGUCCGAUUAGCUAGUUGGUGAGGUAACGGCUCACCAAGGCAACGAUCGGUAGCCGGCCUGAGAGGGCGGACGGCCACACUGGGACUGAGACACGGCCCAGACUCCUACGGGAGGCAGCAGUGGGGAAUUGUUCGCAAUGGGCGCAAGCCUGACGACGCAACGCCGCGUGGAGGAUGAAGAUCUUCGGGUCGUAAACUCCUUUCGAUCGAGACGAACGGCUUCCGGGCUAAUCACCGGGAGAGUGACGGUACCGAGAGAAGAAGCCCCGGCUAACUCCGUGCCAGCAGCCGCGGUAAUACGGGGGGGGCAAGCGUUGUUCGGAAUUACUGGGCGUAAAGGGCUCGUAGGCGGCCAACUAAGUCAGACGUGAAAUCCCUCGGCUUAACCGGGGAACUGCGUCUGAUACUGGAUGGCUUGAGGUUGGGAGAGGGAUGCGGAAUUCCAGGUGUAGCGGUGAAAUGCGUAGAUAUCUGGAGGAACACCGGUGGCGAAGGCGGCAUCCUGGACCAAAUCUGACGCUGAGGAGCGAAAGCCAGGGGAGCAAACGGGAUUAGAUACCCCAGUAGUCC